ACGUGAUGAAUUCUAUAUAUUAGAGUGAAUUGAUGAUGAGUUUCUGCAGUUGUGAUAUCAUCUUAGGAAUUAGUAAGAAUCUCAGGAACAUUUGUUGAAAUGGCUGAGGCUGCUGAUUUGAUACAACGAAGGCAGCGUUCUGACUUUCAAUCAAGUAUCAAGGAUACCUUAUACAAGGCUAUCAAGAAAAAUCCAGAUGUUAUCCCAUCCUUACUCACUUUGGCAUUGAAUGAUGACUUAUGAUAAGG
This is a long non-coding RNA of Rosa rugosa (rugosa rose), 248 nucleotides long. RefSeq lists it as uncharacterized. NCBI's taxonomy places the organism in Eukaryota, Viridiplantae, Streptophyta, Magnoliopsida, Rosales, Rosaceae. The transcript is spliced from 3 exons. The record is from RefSeq and is a predicted model, not a curated record.